Molecule: ribosomal RNA, 421 nt
Filed under: Blastocystis sp. P-13
Lineage: Eukaryota; Bigyra; Opalinata; Blastocystidae
Also listed under: 2 other names
Description: bacterial SSU rRNA
Rfam family: Eukaryotic small subunit ribosomal RNA
Source: RNAcentral
GGGAGGUAGUGACAAUAAAUCACAAUGCGGAACUUUUAGUUUUGCAAUUGGAUUGAGAACAAUGUACAAAUGUUAUCGAUAAACAAUUGGAGGGCAAGUCUGGUGCCAGCAGCCGCGGUAAUUCCAGCUCCAAUAGCGUAUAUUAACGUUGUUGCAGUUAAAAAGCUCGUAGUUGAAAUGUGGGAUGAAGUAUAUAAUGAAUUUCUAAUUCAAUUCUAUAUUGAUUCCCCUCUCCAAUUUAUUAUUAUGGGUAUUAAUUUAUUUGUAAUAAGAAUUGGUCAUUUACUGUGAGAAAAUUAGAGUGUUCAAAGCAGGCAUUUGCUUGAAUAGAUUAGCAUGGAAUAAUACUAAAAGGCUUUUAUGGUCGAUUUAAUUGGUUUGUUCAUAAAAGCAAGAUUAAAAGGAACAGUUGGGGGUAUUC